RNAcentral lists this transfer RNA (76 nucleotides) under Dipodomys ordii (Ord's kangaroo rat). It matches the Rfam family "tRNA". From Rfam's summary of the family: Transfer RNA (tRNA) molecules are approximately 80 nucleotides in length. Their secondary structure includes four short double-helical elements and three loops (D, anti-codon, and T loops). Further hydrogen bonds mediate the characteristic L-shaped molecular structure. tRNAs have two regions of fundamental functional importance: the anti-codon, which is responsible for specific mRNA codon recognition, and the 3' end, to which the tRNAs corresponding amino acid is attached (by aminoacyl-tRNA synthetases). tRNAs cope with the degeneracy of the genetic code in two manners: having more than one tRNA (with a specific anti-codon) for a particular amino acid; and 'wobble' base-pairing, i.e. permitting non-standard base-pairing at the 3rd anti-codon position. The record is from Rfam by way of RNAcentral. Lineage: Eukaryota; Metazoa; Chordata; Mammalia; Rodentia; Heteromyidae.
GGGGAUAUGGGUUCAAUAUGGUAGAAGUGCUUGCCUGGCAAGCAUAAGGGACUGAGUUCAAAUCUCAGUACCACCA